GUAGUCCACGCCGUAAACUAUGGAUGCUAGCUGUUAGCCGUAUCGACCCGGCUAGUAGCGAAGCUAACGCGUUAAGCAUCCCGCCUGUGGAGUACGGUCGCAAGACUAAAACAUAAAGGAAUUGACGGGGACCCGCACAAGCGGUGGAGCGUGUUGUUUAAUUCGACGAUAAGCGAAGAACCUUACCCAGGUUUGACAUCCUGCGAAUUUCUGCGAAAGCAGAGAGUGCCUUCGGGAAUGCAGUGACAGGUGAUGCAUGGCCGUCGUCAGCUCGUGUCGUGAGAUGUUUGGUUAAGUCCAUCAACGAGCGCAACCCUUAUACUUAGUUGAAUUUUUCUAGGUAGACUGCCCUGGUAACAGGGA
Molecule: ribosomal RNA, 363 nt
Filed under: uncultured bacterium
Lineage: Bacteria
Description: bacterial SSU rRNA
Rfam family: Bacterial small subunit ribosomal RNA
Source: RNAcentral